UAGGGAAAGUUGCAAACACAUUUGAAGAGAGAGUUAAAGAGGACGUGAAACCGGUAAGGUGGAAACGGAUAGAGUCGGCGUAUCAUUCAAUUAUUCAGUUACAUUAUUUUUAUGUUGUGACCUCUGAGCUCCAGAUUGGGACAGAGGGAAUCAGCAUAAUUUUUUGUGGUGCAUUUACUUGAUUGGUGCUUGGGGAUGUUUGAUGCAGAUUUGUUUCCGUCGUUUUGAGGCCAGCUUGCUGGUACCCAAACGGUGUUAGCAUUUUUUGUCUUGGGCAUUUGAGUAUGGCUCACGUGUAUUUAUUGGACAGAUCUGAGUGUAAGUUACGGUCGCAUGCGACACGUGCUUUUCAAUUAGUUCGGUCCAGUUAAUGCUCUCGUACUCGUUCCCCAUGUAAAAGCCGGUCAUCUAUCCGACCCGUCUUGAAACACGGACCAAGGAGUUUAUCGUGUGCGCAAGUUUUUGGGUGUUAAAAACUUAAAAGCGAAAUGAAAGUAAAUGACUCUUUAGAGUCUGAUGUGCGAUCUUGUAAAAAAGUGUAGCAUGGCCCCAUUCUAACUGUUUACAGUAGGGUGUGCGGAAGAGCGUACGCGGUGAGACCCGAAAGAUCGGUGAACUAUUCCUGAGCAGGACGAAGCCAGAGGAAUACUCUGGUGCGAAGUCCGAAGCGGUUCUGACGUGCAAAUCGA
RNAcentral lists this ribosomal RNA (689 nucleotides) under Meloidogyne incognita (southern root-knot nematode). RNAcentral describes it as "partial large subunit ribosomal RNA". It matches the Rfam family "Eukaryotic large subunit ribosomal RNA", at positions 355 to 901 of the family's 3401-position model. Lineage: Eukaryota; Metazoa; Nematoda; Chromadorea; Rhabditida; Meloidogynidae. The record is from RNAcentral.